RNAcentral lists this ribosomal RNA (641 nucleotides) under Stenomitos frigidus AR4-GA-1C. RNAcentral's name for it is "bacterial SSU rRNA". It matches the Rfam family "Bacterial small subunit ribosomal RNA", at positions 112 to 787 of the family's 1533-position model. Lineage: Bacteria; Bacillati; Cyanobacteriota; Cyanophyceae; Leptolyngbyales; Leptolyngbyaceae. The record is from RNAcentral.
AACGCGUGAGAAUCUGCCUUCAGGUUGGGGACAACAGUUGGAAACGACUGCUAAUACCCAAUGUGCCGAGAGGUGAAAGCUUUAGUGCCUGAGGAUGAGCUCGCGUCUGAUUAGCUAGUUGGUGGAGUAAUGGUUCACCAAGGCGACGAUCAGUAGCUGGUCUGAGAGGAUGAUCAGCCACACUGGGACUGAGACACGGCCCAGACUCCUACGGGAGGCAGCAGUGGGGAAUUUUCCGCAAUGGGCGCAAGCCUGACGGAGCAAGACCGCGUGAGGGAGGAAGGCUCUUGGGUUGUAAACCUCUUUUAUCAGGGAAGAAGAUCUGACGGUACCUGAUGAAUCAGCAUCGGCUAACUCCGUGCCAGCAGCCGCGGUAAUACGGAGGAUGCAAGCGUUAUCCGGAUUUAUUGGGCGUAAAGCGUCCGCAGGUGGUUUUACAAGUCUGCUGUUAAAGCGCGAGGCUUAACCUCGUACAGGCAGUGGAAACUGUGAGACUAGAGUGUGGUAGGGGUAGCGGGAAUUCCCAGUGUAGCGGUGAAAUGCGUAGAUAUUGGGAAGAACACCAGCGGCGAAAGCGCGCUACUGGGCCAUCACUGACACUCAUGGACGAAAGCUAGGGGAGCGAAUGGGAUUAGAUACCC